CCUGCCCGGUGACUCAACGUUCAACGGCCGCGGUAUCCUAACCGUGCAAAGGUAGCGCAAUCAAUUGUCCCAUAAAUCGAGACUAGUAUGAAUGGCUAAACGAGGUCUUAACUGUCUCUUACAGGCGAUCGGUGAAAUUGAUCUCCCUGUGCAAAAGCAGGGAUAACAACAUAAGACGAGAAGACCCUGUGGAACUUCAAAAUCAGCAGCCACCUCACAACGCAUUAACACCCACCGGGUUCACGAACACAUAAAGUGCUGGCCUGCAUUUUUCGGUUGGGGCGACCUUGGAGAAAAACAAAUCCUCCAAAAAUUAGACCACAACUCUAAACCAAGAGCAACCCCUCAACGUGCUAAUAGCGCCCAGACCCAAUAUAAUUGAUCAAUGGACCAAGCUACCCCAGGGAUAACAGCGCAAUCUCCCCCGAGAGUCCAUAUCGACGAGGAGGUUUACGACCUCGAUGUUGGAUCAGGACAUCCUGGUGGUGCAGCAGCUACCAAGGUUC
This 506-nucleotide ribosomal RNA is filed under the name Platysteira cyanea (brown-throated wattle-eye). RNAcentral describes it as "partial 16S ribosomal RNA". It matches the Rfam family "Bacterial large subunit ribosomal RNA", at positions 1858 to 2573 of the family's 2925-position model. Lineage: Eukaryota; Metazoa; Chordata; Aves; Passeriformes. The record is from RNAcentral.